GGCCCCUUCGUCUAAUGGUUAGGACACCAGGUUUUCAUCCUGUAAACAGGAGUUCGAUUCUCCUAGGGGCUA
Molecule: transfer RNA, 72 nt
Filed under: Parcubacteria group bacterium
Lineage: Bacteria
Description: tRNA-Glu
Rfam family: tRNA
About the family: Transfer RNA (tRNA) molecules are approximately 80 nucleotides in length. Their secondary structure includes four short double-helical elements and three loops (D, anti-codon, and T loops).
Source: RNAcentral